Molecule: non-coding RNA, 73 nt
Organism: Ochromonadaceae sp. CCMP2298
Lineage: Eukaryota; Synurophyceae; Ochromonadales; Ochromonadaceae
Source: the annotation of a GenBank genome assembly
GCUCCAUUAGUGUAGUGGUUUAGCACCCCAGACUUUGAAUCUGGUGACCUGGGUUCGAAUCCCAGAUGGAGCU